GUAAAAGCCAUGAUCGCAAACCAAAUAUGAAAAAUUCAUAAGAUACCUAACUACCUACAUAACUAAAAAUUGCUAACUAACUACUUAGGUAAAAUAAAAUAAUAACUACUAUCUACAUAGUGUGUGUGUACAGUGUACCUAGUUACUCAAGAGACUGACCUAUGGAAUGGAGCUUCUACGGCCCAAUAAUUCUGGCGAUUGUGCUAUUCCUACUGGUCGGGACGAUCAUCGAGCAUAGGCUUGAAGUAGUUAUACGACGUGUUUUGGAACACCACCAAACCCAAGUUCAAGCGUACCAAACUAGCCAGUCAACUGAUCAACAAACCAGCCAGUCAAUCAACCAUCAAACCAGUCAACCAACCAAUCAACCAGCUAAUAGACAAAACAUUCGAUCCGCAUCAGAUACAAUAUUUACGAGCAAAAGCGCAAUGACAAGCAUUUCUUCUGAAUUUCACAAACCCAAUCUCACUUUACAAAAAAGUGCACAAAAUAUGAAGCUCCUGGAUUCUCCAUUUAAAUCUGCCCUUAAGUACAAGUCGAAUACAUUGAUGUAAAAGAGAACUGGCAAGCCAAUUCCUAUGUAACUACCUAUUCAGCAGAUCCACAAAACAAAAUGUAAAAGCACAUACAUAAGUAGGUACAUAUUAUAAAUAUAAAAUACUAUGAAAAUUAA
This is a long non-coding RNA of Maniola jurtina (meadow brown), 673 nucleotides long. RefSeq lists it as uncharacterized. Lineage: Eukaryota; Metazoa; Arthropoda; Insecta; Lepidoptera; Nymphalidae. The record is from RefSeq and is a predicted model, not a curated record. The transcript has 3 exons.